UUCCAGACUCCUACGGGAGGCAGCAGUGGGGAAUAUUGGGCAAUGGGCGCAAGCCUGACCCAGCAACGCCGCGUGAAGGAAGAAGGCUUUCGGGUUGUAAACUUCUUUUCUCAGGGACGAAGCAAGUGACGGUACCUGAUGAAUAAGCCACGGCUAACUACGUGCCAGCAGCCGCGGUAAUACGUAGGUGGCAAGCGUUGUCCGGAUUUACUGGGUGUAAAGGGCGUGUAGCCGGGAAGGCAAGUCAGAUGUGAAAUCCGGAGGCUCAACCUCCGAAUUGCAUUUGAAACUGUUUUUCUUGAGUACUGGAGAGGCAGACGGAAUUCCUUGUGUAGCGGUGAAAUGCGUAGAUAUAAGGAGGAACACCAGUGGCGAAGGCGGUCUGCUGGACAGCAACUGACGGUGAGGCGCGAAAGCGUGGGGAGCAAACAGGAUUAGAUACCCCGGUAAUC
RNAcentral lists this ribosomal RNA (452 nucleotides) under uncultured bacterium. RNAcentral's name for it is "bacterial SSU rRNA". It matches the Rfam family "Bacterial small subunit ribosomal RNA", at positions 329 to 795 of the family's 1533-position model. The record is from RNAcentral.